RNAcentral lists this ribosomal RNA (253 nucleotides) under uncultured bacterium. Its description in RNAcentral is "partial 16S ribosomal RNA". It matches the Rfam family "Bacterial small subunit ribosomal RNA", at positions 524 to 776 of the family's 1533-position model. The record is from RNAcentral.
GACAGAGGGUGCAAACGUUGCUCGGAAUCACUGGGCGUAAAGGGCGUGUAGGCGGGAAUGUAAGUCGGGCGUGAAAUCCCUAGGCUCAACCUAGGAACUGCACUCGAAACUGCGUUUCUUGAGUAUCGGAGAGGAAAGCGGAAUACCUGGUGUAGAGGUGAAAUGCGUAGAUAUCCGGAGGAACACCGGUGGCGAAGGCGGCUUCCUGGACCGACACUGACGCUGAGGCGCGAAAGCUAGGGGAGCAAACGGG